This 525-nucleotide unclassified non-coding RNA is filed under the name Hevea brasiliensis (rubber tree). The record is from RNAcentral. Lineage: Eukaryota; Viridiplantae; Streptophyta; Magnoliopsida; Malpighiales; Euphorbiaceae.
AUAAUUAUGGAACUAAAUAGUUAAUUGAGUCAAAUUAUAUAGACUAAUUAAUGUAUUUUUCCAAAAUAUGGAGAUUAACUAAUUAGUUUCAUUAAAAUAGAGUGACUAAAUGAUAUGUUGAUUAAUAUUAAUUAACAGAAAAAUUGACAUAUGGGCUAAACAGUUUAAUGUAAGCAAAAUACAUGGAUUAAAUCGUGUAUUUUUUAAAAUACAGAUAUCAAAUAACUAGUUUCAUUAAAAUACAAAGACUAAAUAGUAAUUUACCAUAAAUAUAAAUUUAUCAUGUAGUGAUAUUGAGCGCAAGAAUCAAAUGUAGGAUAUUGAGAUAUUGUUAGGUCUGUUCACUUGUGGAAAGCUGAGUAAUUAUCGGAAAAGUUCUAUAAGAAAAUAGAGUUUAGUGUUUAUGUAUCCCAAUUUUCCAAAUAGAGAACUGGUACUCUUUCCUUUAAGAUAAAAGUUUUGUUUUUCCAACAAUUUGGAAGACAAUGACUUUUUUAAUCCAAAAUUAAAUAAUUAUUUAGAAAA